UUGACAUGCGUUGCCGCGAGAACGGCAUCGAGCACCGGCUGACCAAGAUCAAGCAUCCGUGGACCAACGGUCAGGUGGAGCGCAUGAACCGCACGAUCAAGGAAGCCACCGUCAAGCGCUACCAUUACGACAGCCACCGGCAGCUCCAGCGCCACCUCACCGAUUUCAUCAACGCAUACAAUUACGGCAGGCGUCUCAAGACCCUGAAGGGCCUUACACCCUACGAAUUCAUCGCCAAAACGUGGACAAAAGAGCCAGAACGAUUCAGACUAAAUCCGGUCCAUCAAAUGCCGGGACUAAACACCUAGGCUGGAACAUGUUAGCGGAACGAUACCC
RNAcentral lists this unclassified non-coding RNA (336 nucleotides) under Hevea brasiliensis (rubber tree). Lineage: Eukaryota; Viridiplantae; Streptophyta; Magnoliopsida; Malpighiales; Euphorbiaceae. The record is from RNAcentral.